AGGUUCUAAGAAGGUUUUGUUAAUUUGUUAAUGUGUAUACUAUCAUUUAAAAUAUUCGAAAACCGUAUUUAUGGUAAUUUAUAAUUAUAAUAGAUAAAAAUCGCGACCGAAGAUAAUAUUUUUUUUUAUUUCUUCCUUUUUUUUUUAUCGUUAAUAACUUGCUGGUAGAAUACUUUGCGAACAGGAAACGUACGACUUAUCUUGUGUACAGAUCAGGCAGAUUCAGUGCUGUGUUUGUCUACUAAAGCUAGUCGAACUCCUAUAGCUUUCCUUCGAACGAAAACUGCAGAGAAACCACCAGAGAGCCUCUAUAAAGUCGAUUCAAUUGAAGAGUGGGAUAUAACUGUAGAUUUAGAAUGUUUCCCAGAUUUGAAAGAAAGAAACGGUUCCAAAUUUAGAACCGUUUUGCCUAUCGAUUUAAAACUGAACGAUAUUUUUAUUUUAUUUUAUUUUUUUAACUAGUAGAGCGCUGUUGAUGUCUCUUUAAAUAAAGCGAAUCGGAGCGUUUUGUUUGCCGGGUGUAUUGCCGAAACGGGGCGGAAGAAAACAAGAAAAAAGAAAGAAAGAAAGAGUUGAUAAUCUAAAUUUUUGUUUUCCAUUUUCAAAAAUCCAUUUUGGAGAUUUCCAAAUUCGAUGCGAAAUCUCCGGAGAAAUCAGUAGAUCGGAAGAAAGUUUUCUGAUGUAUAAAAAAAAAAAAGAAAAAAGAAAAAAACAGAAAAUAGCAACCAUUGCGAUCUCGUUAAGCUACCGGAUGGCAAACUGGGUCAAAAGAAGGCGAUCCUCGAAACGACACCUAUCACUGUGGGCCGGAUGUCGUAUCUUGUUAAAUCGCUACAACGGAAAAAGGAUUUGUUCCGAUCUGAUGGAGUUAAGCUUAACGAUGUGCGUAGAAGACUUACGAUCGAUGGAAUUAAGUUGCGGAUCUUCUUUUGCACAAAUCUUAACUCGAUAAGAUUCCGUUUUCUUGUUUUCUAUCUCGGAUAUUAUCGAAUUCUAUCGAUUUUUGCUUAUUUGCUUCGUUAAAACAGUUAGCAGAAGCUAAUUUAUGCAAGAAAGUAAAGAACACAUCCAAAAAAAAAGCAUUAAUUAAAAUUUUUCUCUUAUUUUUACACGCAAUAAUAAUAAAAUCCAUUUCGUAACAAUUGGCGUAAGAAAUAGAAUGUUUCUGUCAA
RNAcentral lists this long non-coding RNA (1172 nucleotides) under Androctonus crassicauda. The record is from RNAcentral. Lineage: Eukaryota; Metazoa; Arthropoda; Arachnida; Scorpiones; Buthidae.